GACGAACGCUGGCGGCGUGCUUAACACAUGCAAGUCGAACGGAAAGGCCCUGCUUUUGUGGGGUGCUCGAGUGGCGAACGGGUGAGUAACACGUGAGUAACCUGCCCUUGACUUUGGGAUAACUUCAGGAAACUGGGGCUACUAUCGGAUAGGAGCUCCUGCUGCAUGGUGGGGGUUGGAUAGUUUCGGCGGUUGGGGAUGGACUCGCGGCUUAUCAGCUUGUUGGUGGGGUAGUGGCUUACCAAGGCUUUGACGGGUAGCCGGCCUGAGAGGGUGACCGGGCACAAUAGGACUGAGAUACGGCGCAGAGUCCUACGGGGGGCAGCAGUGGGAAAUAUGGCACAAUGGGCGGAAGCCUGAGGCAGCAACGCCGCGUGCGGGAUGACGGCCUUCGGGUAGUAAACCGCUUUCGCCUGUGACGAAGCGUGAGUGACGGUAAUGGGUGAAGAAGCACCGGCUAACUACGUG
RNAcentral lists this ribosomal RNA (468 nucleotides) under uncultured bacterium. RNAcentral's name for it is "partial 16S ribosomal RNA". It matches the Rfam family "Bacterial small subunit ribosomal RNA", at positions 28 to 507 of the family's 1533-position model. The record is from RNAcentral.